UGGGGAAUAUUGGGCAAUGGGGGAAACCCUGACCCAGCAACGCCGCGUGAAGGAUGAAGUAUUUCGGUAUGUAAACUUCGAAAGAAUAGGAAGAAUAAAUGACGGUACUAUUUAUAAGGUCCGGCUAACUACGUGCCAGCAGCCGCGGUAAUACGUAGGGACCAAGCGUUGUUCGGAUUUACUGGGCGUAAAGGGCGCGUAGGCGGCAUGACAAGUCACUUGUGAAAUCUCUGGGCUUAACCCAGAACGGCCAAGUGAUACUGUCGCGCUAGAGUGCAGAAGGGGCAAUCGGAAUUCUUGGUGUAGCGGUGAAAUGCGUAGAUAUCAAGAGGAACACCUGAGGUGAAGACGGGUUGCUGGGCUGACACUGACGCUGAGGCGCGAAAGCCAGGGGAGCAAACGGGAUUAGAUACCCAAGUAGUCCCUGAGCGGGCUGGCAAGGCGCAU
This 447-nucleotide ribosomal RNA is filed under the name uncultured bacterium. Its description in RNAcentral is "bacterial SSU rRNA". It matches the Rfam family "Bacterial small subunit ribosomal RNA", at positions 355 to 825 of the family's 1533-position model. The record is from RNAcentral.